GGGGGACUACCUCAAGUGGUAGAGCGCUCGAUUUGCAUUCGAGAGGUACUGGGAUCGAUACCCAGGUUCUCCA
Molecule: non-coding RNA, 73 nt
Organism: Drosophila ficusphila
Lineage: Eukaryota; Metazoa; Arthropoda; Insecta; Diptera; Drosophilidae
Source: Rfam